Apodemus sylvaticus (European woodmouse) is the source of this 417-nucleotide non-coding RNA. The record is from the annotation of a RefSeq genome assembly. NCBI's taxonomy places the organism in Eukaryota, Metazoa, Chordata, Mammalia, Rodentia, Muridae.
GUUGAGAGCAUCACUCUGACACUGAACAUGAACAUUUCUCCAGUUGCAGUGACUGUGAUUCUGCUGUUCAUGCUUGGGAUGAGGAAGACCCAUGGAGAUUCAGUGACCCAGAAACAAGGUCAAGUGACCCUCUCAGAAGAUGACUUUCUAUUUAUAAAUUGCACUUAUUCAACCACAGGGUACCCAACUCUUUUCUGGUAUGUCCAAUAUCCUGGACAAGGUCUACAGCUCCUUCUGCAAGUCACAACAGCCAACAACAAGGGAAGCAGCAGAGGUUUUGAAGCUACAUAUGAUAAAGGGACCACCUCCUUCCACUUGCAGAAAGCCUCGGUGCAGGAGUCAGACUCGGCUGUGUACUACUGUGGUCUGAGAGACACAGUGGCAGAAACCACAGUGGGAGCUGAGCACAAACUCUGA